CUCGGCCUCCCAAAGUGCUAGGAUAACAGGUGUGAGCCAUGUGAGCCACUGCGCCCAGCCACAAGAUGCCUCUUUAUGAGAGGAUCCAGUCUACCUUUCCAGCUGUUUUUUCCCACUCCUAUCAUUUCCCUUCUCCUAGCAAAACUCUGUAUUGGCCUACACAUGCCAAUGUGUUGAGCAUGCCAUGCGUUCUUGUGCCCUGCAUCUUUGCUUUUGCCAUUCCUUGUGCUAUUGUUUUUCCACUUUCUUCCUGCAAAACUCCUAUUCAUCCUCUAAGACCUGGCUGUGAUGUCCUGGCUCUUGAACGGUUCUACCUCUCACUCACUCACACAGGGAGGUCAGCUGCUUCUUUCUCUGAGCCGCCUUACCCUCUGGGACACGCCUCCAGCACAGAUUUCCGCGUAGCCUACCUUCACUCAUCUAGAUACAUCAUCUUCCCUGGCAGAUGGAGUGCUUCUGAAAGGCAGAGACUUAGCUUUGAAUUCCCAGUGCCUAGCAUGGAGCCUGGUCCAUAAAAACCACUCCAUCCAUGUUCAUGAAAUGACUGAGAAACAGCAAGGGCUCCUGUGCACUUGGGUGUGGCUCCAGAAGAGGCAGCUUCUGUGGCUAUUCCCCUUGGAGGCCGGCUGGCCACUCUCCCUGCACAGAGCAGGCUGGCUUCGCCAUCACAGGCUGCUUCUCAGAAGCUCAGCUACCUCUCCUUCCUCACCUCCCAGACCCCUCGGAAAGUGUUCCCCACCAGAAAUGUCUUUUUGGUGGCCUCAACCUGAGAAGGAAGGCUACAGAGCUUACAGAUUUAAACUUAAAUGCAUAAACAAUUCACAGUGGUCCCCUGGCUUAGGCUGAAUCUCAACUUGGAGGACUUGGUGUCCAUGGUAAGUCUGGAGGCCUGAAGGUGGGAGGCGCUCAGCUGUCUGCAGCAGCUGUACCCUGCACCCUGCCCAGCAGGCAUUUCCCUGCUACAUGGCUCUCCUCCCAGCUCCCUCGGGGGGGUCUGGCCCUCCCACCCUGGGUGAGCUGCAUUUUUGUGGUCCUCCUUCUUCUAAUCUCUCUGCCUGCCUCACAAAGUGGAGAAUUCGAUUUUCUUCCCAAAGAAAAUCAGAUUUGACUUAGCUCCAUCCAUUUUCACAAUUGCUACGGAAACGCUGUCUCUGUGAGGACAAAAGAACUAAACGAAGGACUUUCAGUGGGGGAAUGAGCACGUGGACACAACUGUGCCUCAGUGAGAAUCCCUUGCAGACCUGGGAGAGACAUCUGCAGGCAGUGGGAUGCGGAUCAGAAGCCCUGGGUCCCCAGAGUCCAAUGAUGAGGAGACCCGGAGGGAAGGAAUUGGCUUGAAGUAGGGCUGUCUCGGGGGUGAGCAUUUCUCCCGCAGCCCCACACCCAGCAGCUCUGAGAGAAGCCAGAGCCUCCUGAUGCACCUGGCAUGACACUGGGACAAAGGCAAUCCAUUAUGUGACUGGUAUAUCAGAGUCACAGAGGGGCUGGGUGCAGCAGGGUAAAGAGGCUGCAAGGUCACAGAUGGACAAGGUGUGGCUGUCACAGCUGUGGUGGCUGGCCCCAUGAAAUAAUUGGGACACCAGGAGGGGCAGGGUCAGAGGACCUCUAAAUAGCUCUGUAGUCUUGGCCUCAGGGAGUGAUUACCUGCAAUAUGCCAGGGUACUGUCCCUGUAAACAAUGAGGCUGGAAGGCAAGAAAGGAGCAGCUCCCUGGCAUUUUGCUGCUGGAGCACGGAAGCAGUGCUGGCCAGGAGCUCACAGGUGGGUGUGAACCUGGGGACCCUCCGUAGAUACUCAUGGGGCCCCGGGCACUCCACUGGACAGGUGAAAAGCUCACAGCUCAGGGUCCCCUGCUAUUUUAUGAGCUUGGGAGGUUUCUGUGUCCAGAAGCACAAUGGAGGGAGCCCCUGAUCAUAAUCACUAAGAGCACACCAUGUUUGCUGCUUUUAACUGUUUCCAAAUCCUUCUAGUUCAUAGGCUCCUCUGCUCCUAAACCAGUCCUUUGAGGUAUCUGGCAGACAGUUUUCUGCCCUUCCCUUCCUUGACAUUUCUGUGACAUUUGGCUCUGUGACGGCUUCCUUCUUCAGGAAACUCUUUUGUUGUCUUAUUUCUGGGACACCCUCCUCCGGAGUUUCCAUUCCCUCUCAGUCCCCGUCCUGACUCUCAUUCCUGUCCCCAGCCACUUAAAUGUUGAUGUCCCUAGGUUCUAUCCCCAGCCGUCUUCUCAUUCAGAAUUCCCCUCCUCAAAGUAGAUUCAUCACUCCCAGAGACAUUUACAUCACGUCUCCACUUAGCCCUUGGCCCUGGCUCUCAGCCCCGCAGAACCCACUGCCGACUAGCCCCAUCCACAUGGGGGCCCACAGGCCCCUUGAGUGUGACACGUCCAAAUGAGUUACUCACCUUCUCCUCCCUCUUCUCAUCAUCUCUGCACCAUCAACAUCCCCUAAUUGUCCACCAGAAAUCAGGGAACAAUCCUGGCCUCCACCCUCUCCUCACCCUAUACGUCUGGUCAAUCAUGCCUUCCUCUCAACCUGACUCCUACAGGUAUCUUCAACCUGUGCCCAUUCUCGCAGCUCUGAGCUUAUUCCAUACUACAUAAGUUUGCUUAGACUGGUGGUUCUCCACCAUGGGUGAUUUUUGUCUUCCCCACCUAGGGGACAUUUGGCAACGUCCAGGGACAAUUUCUGAUGGUCACAACGAAGUGGUUGCUACUAGCAUCAAGUGGGUAGAGGCCAGGGAUGGAGCUGAACACGAUACAAUGCACCAGGCGGCCCCUGCAACCAAGAACCAAAAUGGCGGUAGUCCCCAGACCCAAUGCCUAGCGCCAUGUCUGGUGAGUGAAUGCACACAGGAAGAAAGCUUUGCCAAAAUUUGCACACCUCGUUGCUGGAAGGACUAGGACUGGCAUUCAGGUCUUUGGACUCCCAAGCUAUGCUCACCUCAUCAGACCUGAUGGCUCUAAGUAGGUCAGUUUUAGGUCCUGAGCUACUUGAUCCAUCUGGCUCCCAGUUAGAGAACAACAAGAAACUAAUCACAUGUGGUGGCUGCUGCCUCCGUAAGUGCUUCCAUUUAUUCACAAGCUGAAAGACAAAAGCUUGGCCCCCCAGCAUAUGCUGGAUCAAAAGCAAGGAACAAAAAGGAUUGUAAAAGAAAGACGCUGGAAAUAGUAGCUACUUUGAUGCAGGCAGCUCUUUGAGGAAGCAGCUGAGGACUGUGCCCCCAGCAGCAAAGAGAGAGAGAAGUCACUGCCAGAGGGUGAAGGAAAUCACUGCAGGAAGGGUGGGACCUCACUGGCUUCUCUGCUGGUUUCCAGCGAGUGCCAGGAAUGGGGGAGGGGUGUCUCAUUAAUCUCACCUCCUUGCUGCCCUGCCUGGGGUCUUUACAAUCUGCUCCAUUUGGAGACUAAGGAUUCCUACAGGAAUGGCAAUCUGAGCCAGAGAUUUAGGAAGGAGGUUUAUAAGUAAUGGCUAGAGCGAUAGAGUAAUUAAUAGGAAACUAUUAUUAACAAUACAGUGAUUUCAUAAUGAUUCCGCAGUUUAUAAUACAAAUGUAUACAUCAUUUGAUGAAUUAUUGUAUUGAGCCCGAGGAUGCAGGAAUGGCCAGAUUCUGUCCUUGAAAUAGCCACCCCUUCUCAUGAGGACCCCUGAGAAAAUAUAGUAAGCACACAAAGAAAGGAAAGCAAAGCAAUGCUUCAUUGUUAGCUGGACUUGUGAUCAAAACCCUAGCGCUCUCUGGUCAACUGGACUAGAUGACGUUUUCUACUAAGCAAGUUAGGACUAAACAGCUCAUAACAACAGCCAAUCCAAUAUACCUGCUUGUCUCGGGAAAGUGUAGUCAGCUGCAGAGAGACAGUGAGAGAGUGACUGUUUCCUUUGAAUUCCUGCUCUCUGGAGUUGACUUGGGCAGCCUGGCUCUGAACCAGGACACCAUCUCUGGGUUGGUGGCCAUCUGAGAAAACAUGGAGAAAAGACACUUUGAGGAAGGUAACCUCGUAAUGCUGAGAGGAAGCUUAUGCCCAAGGAGACUCCAAGGAGAAUUUGGGAUCUAACCCCAGAGCACUGCAGAGUGGAAAAGGCCAGGGGGAACCCCUUAUCUUACCAGAAAACCAAGCAAAGGAGAUAGCAAGAGGCUGGACUGAAGUUAAAGAAUAAUGCUUAAGUGUCUUGUUUGGGACUCAAAGGGCUUGCCCUCCCAUUGUAUUCACAGAUACAGCAAAAGACUUUGGUGAAAUGCAAUGUGGAAGGAGGAAGAUUGGUUCCCAUUGUGAAUAAGGAAAAAAUGAGUCCUGGGGUUCUGAAGGCAGCUUGAGAUAUUUUGAGCAUUUCACCUCUGAAGUAAGAGUGCAACCCUCCAAUUCAAAAGUGUAAUUUCUAGUCCCUUUGUUGAAAAGUCAGUUAUGAAACUUUACAGUUUCACUUUUGGCUUUCGGCUGAACUUUUCAGAGCCUUUAAGGCAAGGUGGGUAAGUAUUUUUAGAGAUGGUAACGAGGCCUGGGGGCUAUGCACACAGCUGGAGCUCAGCAGAUGUCUCAGAGGAGAAAGAUGAGAACCUCAGUCAUGGUCAAGACCCCUCUCCGAAUGGCUUCUCAUCCCUCAGACCCACAAGAGAGGUGCAUCGUAAGCUCAAGACACCUGAGACACCUUAAUUCUCUUCCCCAGCCCUCUCUCUGUCCCUUGAAAGGAUGCAAUGCGCUGGGGAGAUGAAACCAGUUUGCAUCUUAGGAAGGAUCUGGAUUGUUUUCCUUCUUUCUCUGAGCUGUCACUUGCUAUAAAAGCGAUCAUUGAUAUUCAGCCAUUAUGCCAUUAUACUUCCAUAAUCAUUAAUAUUCUUAAAAGGCUCUUGAAACACAUUUAUACAAGGCUACAUGAUCAGUUCCUACAUUUACUUUCAAUUUAAAUAACAGUUUUAGCCAGGGUUUUGAUGUGCUGUUUACUUUAAUUACCAUCCUGCCCCUUUCUGUGUCUUGACACAGUGUCAUUUAAUAUUUUAUGAAUUUCCCUUAGCCCUUUUUUUCCCUGAUAUGUGUGAUUUGAACGGGUUGCUGCUUUUUUAGAAAAAAAUUUGUAGUUUUAACUUUUCUGAGACUUGCUGUAAACAAGAUGUGUCAUGCCUAUGGAUUCUCUUCCCCCAGUGAUAAUGGGAGGAAAUAAAUAAAACAGCAGACAGCUGCUUUACCCAGAUGGCACAGGGAUGCCAGGGGGUUCUGGCCCUGCUGCAGGCACAGAGUGACAGGCCAGCAACUUCAGGUGAGGUGGGAAGCAGCCCAGAAGAGGUCAGCGUCUGCCUCUCAAGGUGUGGGCUGUCAGCAUGAGGAUCACCUGGGAGCCCCACUCCAGAACUACUGAGGCAGAAGCUGCAUUAGAACAAGAUCCCUAGGUGGUUUGUUUGAACACUGGAGUUUGGGAAGCACUGCACUAAUGGAAAUCAAUUAGUGGAUGUAAAGAAAAUAGGCAUUUCACGGCUGUUCUCUCCCAAGUCCCAUGCUUUCAUCAGAAAAAAAGCUCUACUUUUGGGAUCUAUGGCAGGUUCUUGGGGUCAUUUAUAAAUAAGUGCUAUACUUUAAAUACUGUGUUCAUGAUCUGCUUCAAGAUUUCCCCCUCUGUUUUUUCAGUGAUCCAUUUGUUUACUUAAGAAAUAUUUGGCCAGGCGCGGUGGCUCAUGCAUGUAAUCCCAGCACUUUGCGUGGCU
RNAcentral lists this long non-coding RNA (5688 nucleotides) under Homo sapiens (human). RNAcentral describes it as "HSALNT0365620". The record is from RNAcentral. Lineage: Eukaryota; Metazoa; Chordata; Mammalia; Primates; Hominidae.